UUCCUAUGACCUUUAGAUUAGCACAACAAUAGUGUGUAGAGAGCUUUAUGGAAUGGGUUUCCAUGGCCGAGCAGCUGCAUCCAAGCAUUACAUCACCAAGUG
Long non-coding RNA from Nanorana parkeri, 102 nucleotides. RefSeq lists it as uncharacterized. The transcript is spliced from 3 exons. NCBI's taxonomy places the organism in Eukaryota, Metazoa, Chordata, Amphibia, Anura, Dicroglossidae. The record is from RefSeq and is a predicted model, not a curated record.